AUUGAACGCUGGCGGCAGGCCUAACACAUGCAAGUCGAACGAGUGGCGGACGGGUGAGUAAUGUCUGGGAAACUGCCUGAUGGAGGGGGAUAACUACUUGCAAAGGUAGUUUAUACCGCAUACCAUCGGAUGUGCCCAGAUGGGAGUGGCUAGUAGGUGGGGUAAAGGCUCACCUAGGCGACGAUCCCUAGCUGGUUUGAGAGGAUGACCGGCCACACUGGAACUGAGACACGGUCCAGACUCCUACGGGAGGCAGCAGUGGGGAAUAUUGCACAAUGGGCGCAAGCCUGAUGCAGCCAUGCCGCGUGUAUGAAGAAGGCCUUCGGGUUGUAAAGUACUUUCAGCGGGGAGGCGUUACCCGCAGAAGAAGCACCGGCUAACUCCGUGCCAGCCGCCGCGGUAAUAC
Molecule: ribosomal RNA, 406 nt
Filed under: uncultured bacterium
Lineage: Bacteria
Description: partial 16S ribosomal RNA
Rfam family: Bacterial small subunit ribosomal RNA
Source: RNAcentral